Molecule: transfer RNA, 61 nt
Filed under: Succinea putris (European ambersnail)
Lineage: Eukaryota; Metazoa; Mollusca; Gastropoda; Stylommatophora; Succineidae
Description: tRNA-Gln
Source: RNAcentral
UUUCUUUUAGUGUAAAGCACAGGAAAAUUUGAGUUUCCUAGAAAAUUUUUUUUAAAGAAAA